CGGGCGGCUGCAGUCAAGAAUCUUCCCCAAUGCGCGAAAGCGUGAGGGAGCGACGCCGCGUGUCCGAUGAAGCCCUUCGGGGUGUAAAAGACUUUUCUCUGGGACGAACUAAUGACGGUACCAGAGGAAUAAGAGGUUGCUAACUCUGUGCCAGCAGCAGCGGUAAUACAGAGACCUCAAGCGUUAUCCGGAUUUAUUGGGCGUAAAGGGUUCCGUAGGCGGUUUGUUAAGUCAAUGGUUAAAUCCUUCGGCUCAACCGAAGAACCGCCAUUGAAACUAACAAACUUGAGACCGGGAGAGGCAAGCGGAAUUGCCGGUGUAGUAGUAAAAUGCGUUAAUAUCGGCAAGAACACCAAAGGCGAAGGCAGCUUGCUAGAACGGUUCUGACGCUAAGGGACGAAAGCGUGGGUAGCGAAUGGGAUUAGAUACCCCGGUAGUC
Molecule: ribosomal RNA, 439 nt
Filed under: uncultured microorganism
Description: bacterial SSU rRNA
Rfam family: Bacterial small subunit ribosomal RNA
Source: RNAcentral